AGGAUGAACGCUGGCGGCGUGCCUAAUACAUGCAAGUCGAGCGAACAGACGAGGAGCUUGCUCCUCUGACGUUAGCGGCGGACGGGUGAGUAACACGUGGAUAACCUACCUAUAAGACUGGGAUAACUUCGGGAAACCGGAGCUAAUACCGGAUAAUAUAUUGAACCGCAUGGUUCAAUAGUGAAAGACGGUUUUGCUGUCACUUAUAGAUGGAUCCGCGCCGCAUUAGCUAGUUGGUAAGUAACGGCUUACCAAGGCAACGAUGCGUAGCCGACCUGAGAGGGUGAGUCGGCCACACUGGAACUGAGACACGGUCCAGACUCCUAGGGAGCAGCAGUAGGGAAUCGUUCCGACAAGUGGGCAAAGCCUGACGGAGCAACGCCGCGUGAGUGAGUGAAGGUC
RNAcentral lists this ribosomal RNA (402 nucleotides) under uncultured soil bacterium. Its description in RNAcentral is "bacterial SSU rRNA". It matches the Rfam family "Bacterial small subunit ribosomal RNA", at positions 26 to 416 of the family's 1533-position model. The record is from RNAcentral.